AUGAAUAUGCCAAGCAGGUAGCACGGCUGCCAAGGCUCAUCAGAGCCGGGUCUUGAACACGAAGGGCCGGUUGACCCAGCCCUGCCAGGUCUUGAAUGCCUACAGCAACAAAGGUGAAUAUCAGUUUCAUCAACGCAUUGCACAUGUUUUUGUUUAUUUGAACUUGGUUGAUGGUCUACCCAAAAACGGAAAGCAAAUAGUGAGCCGUAUGAAGCAUGGGUAAGGAACUUCACAAAAGAAGCUAGCUGACUGCAGAAAUCAACCUUUUCUUUUCCCUGCCGAUAAAAAUAUUGUUCUAUUCAGAUAUCUGUAAAGAUGAUCGUGUUAAGGGGAAUAUUGUCAUCAUUGGACUUCCUAACGUUAGCAUAAAAAAAUAUGCAACUAACAAAACUCAUGCGGUGUACACAGAACGGCAAUGCUGGUACAACUUGUUCAUCUACUCUAGUAAAUAUCAUUGUAAGAACCAGUUUCCAAGUAUUACUAAUUUAACAAUUGGUGGUCAGGUAGCCACAAAAGCGCAGAACAUAACUGAAGAGUAAAAAGUAGCAGACAAUGUGGGUCGUAGCAAGAAAAAUAUCACAUGGGUCGCAGAGGAGGAUGGGGUUAC
RNAcentral lists this long non-coding RNA (607 nucleotides) under Triticum aestivum (bread wheat). RNAcentral describes it as "long non-coding RNA (TAES_LNC020520)". Lineage: Eukaryota; Viridiplantae; Streptophyta; Magnoliopsida; Poales; Poaceae. The record is from RNAcentral.